This is a long non-coding RNA of Formica exsecta, 713 nucleotides long. RefSeq lists it as uncharacterized. The transcript is spliced from 4 exons. NCBI's taxonomy places the organism in Eukaryota, Metazoa, Arthropoda, Insecta, Hymenoptera, Formicidae. The record is from RefSeq and is a predicted model, not a curated record.
AUCUUCGCUUGAUUAUGCGGUAUGCCCUUACAGGAAUAUCCCCAUCUACGUGCCAAUUUGCAUGACGUUUCGCCACCUUCCACGCCCGUGUUCAUCGGUAGCCACUUAUCAUAUCUAAGGUUUCAAAGGUAGCACAUUACAUACCCGAAAAGUUUCGUAAUAUAUUCUUCGAAUUCACCCAAAAUGUCGGAAUAAAACGCUCUAGACGUCAGAGUUAAAGUCUUCGCUUGAUCGAUCAUCGCUUUGUAAAUUCUUGGAUGGCAAUGACCUUGAUUAACCGCCGAAUAAGCACUUAGAAAGUCAAAGUACCGUUUACCCUCGACAUCCCACAUGAAAACACCCUGAGCUUUGCACAGAGCCACAGGAAGUGGAUGAUAUCACUGGAUUAUGAUGUUGGAAUCUUUAACUCACUGUCACUAUAACGACACGUACACGAACCAACUUACCGCAGUAACUUUGGCGUAUAAAUGUGUGUUCUUCUUCUGCUUCUAGUUCAAGUUUUAUUUAUCUUAAUCGUGCUACAGAAUGUACUAAAGGAUAACAUCAUACUAUAUACCUCUCGCUUACAUGUACGUCAAUACAAGUUCUAUUACUUUCCCACCGAUACAUCUGUCCUUGUCGUGCAUAUUAUCGCCGAUAAGAGCAAUACAUUCUUAUAUAAUACGCUCAAUAUAUAUGUAUAUAUAAGGCGACUUUUAUACAGAAUAAAUAAA